AAGGAGUCUAACAUGCUUGCGAGUAUUUGGGUGUCUAACCCGGAUGCGUAAUGAAAGUGAAUGGAGGUGGGAAGCGCAAGCUGCACCAUCGACCGAUCUGGAUUUUCUAAGAUGGAUUUGAGUAAGAGCACGUAUGUUGGGACCCGAAAGAUGGUGUACUAUGCCUGAAUAGGGCGAAGCCAGAGGAAACUCUGGUGGAGGCUCGUAGCGGUUCUGACGUGCAAAUCGAUCGUCAAAUUUGGGUAUAGGGGCGAAAGACUAAUCGAACCAUCUAGUAGCUGGUUCCUGC
Molecule: unclassified non-coding RNA, 289 nt
Filed under: uncultured fungus
Lineage: Eukaryota; Fungi
Description: partial contains 5.8S rRNA, ITS2 and 28S rRNA
Rfam family: Eukaryotic large subunit ribosomal RNA
Source: RNAcentral